Molecule: ribosomal RNA, 460 nt
Filed under: uncultured bacterium
Lineage: Bacteria
Description: partial 16S ribosomal RNA
Rfam family: Bacterial small subunit ribosomal RNA
Source: RNAcentral
CCUACGGGAGGCAGCAGUGAGGAAUAUUGGUCAAUGGACGAGAGUCUGAACCAGCCAAGUAGCGUGAAGGAUGACUGCCCUAUGGGUUGUAAACUUCUUUUAUAAAGGAAUAAAACGAGGCACGUGUGCCUUUUUGCAUGUACUCUAUGAAUAAGGAUCGGCUAACUCCGUGCCAGCAGCCGCGGUAAUACGGAGGAUCCGAGCGUUAUCCGGAUUUAUUGGGGUUAAAGGGAGCGUAGAUGGGUUGUUAAGUCAGUUGUGAAAGUUUGCGGCUCAACCGUAAAAUUGCAAUUGAUACUGGCAGUCGUGAGUACAGUUGAGGUAGGCGGAAUUCGUGGUGUAGCGGUGAAAUGCGUAGAUAUCACGAAGAACCCCGAUUGCGAAGGCAGCUUACUAAACUGUGACUGACAUUGAUGCUCGAAAGUGUGGGUAUCAAACAGGAUUAGAUACCCCUGUAGUC